AGCUCCAAUAGCGUAUAUUAAAGUUGUUGCAGUUAAAAAGCUCGUAGUUGGACUUGAGGGCACGGCGCUGGCGGUCCGCCGCAAGGUGAGUACUGCCGAGCCGGCUCUUUUACCUCUCGAAGACAGCAUGUGCCCUUUACUGGGUGUGUGCAUAUUGGAUUCGGGACCUUUACUUUGAAAAAAUUAGAGUGUUCAAAGCAGGCGAUUGCUUGAAUACAUUAGCAUGGAAUAAUGGAAUAGGACUUUGGUUCUAUUUUGUUGGUUUCUGGGACUGAAGUAAUGAUUAAUAGGGAUAGUUGGGGGCAUUAGUAUUUAAUUGUCAGAGGUGAAAUUCUUGGAUUUAUGAAAGACUAACUUCUGCGAAAGCAUUUGCCAAGGAUGUUUUCAUUAAUCAAGAACG
This 400-nucleotide ribosomal RNA is filed under the name phytoplankton environmental sample. RNAcentral describes it as "partial small subunit ribosomal RNA". It matches the Rfam family "Eukaryotic small subunit ribosomal RNA", at positions 587 to 985 of the family's 1831-position model. The record is from RNAcentral.